CUGUCAUUCAACAGUAGUCAAUGUUGGUGAGAAGAGCUGUAGGUAAUACAGGUUAAAGUCAUGAACUGCCCAACCACGCUAGUUUUACUACUUCUUCAGCGUCUAAUUCCUUCCAGACGCCCCGGGUUUAUGCUUCCUGCACGUAGCUCCUUACAUUUCAAAAGACUCUUAACCAGGGAGAGUUUUUGGACUUGUUUUAAUAAGGGGGGAAGGUUUGGGGAUGAGGAGGAGCAACUUAUUGAGGAGAAGAGAGAGAAAAAAAGUUGAUGCCCACAACCAGCCAGCCAGCCAGCCAGCCCGCCAGCCAGCCAGCCAGCCAUCCAGCCAGC
This 329-nucleotide long non-coding RNA is filed under the name Salmo salar (Atlantic salmon). RNAcentral's name for it is "lncRNA (ENSSSAG00000105631.1)". Lineage: Eukaryota; Metazoa; Chordata; Actinopteri; Salmoniformes; Salmonidae. The record is from RNAcentral.